GAAAAAACUGCUGUGGAAAACUCGGCCAGAAGCUGUCAAGUGAAUCGACAACAUCACCACAAACGUUUUUUUCAAGCCAGAGAGUAAAGAGGAGGAAGACUGGAUAGGAAGAAGAGUAAAAGAGAGAGAGGAGGAAAGAUUGGAGAAGAAGAAGGAAAAAUUAAGGGAGUGAAAAGAGUGAAGCGAGGAGAGUGUGGAAGAGUGAGGUGGAAAGGAAGAAAGAUCAGGAAGACGAUUGGAGGAGAAUGAAAAAGUUGAGAGUAAGAAGAGUGACACAAGGAGAGUGAAGAAGAGCAGACAGAAGAGGUACAAUGGCUCUUUCCAAGAAACGGAAAUGGCAUUUUAAUGACAACAUGAUGAGAGAAUUUCCAUUUAUACGCUCAGGUCAAGACGAUAGAAUGGUGAACUGCACCCUUUGGAAUUCCUCUCUUUCAAUUGGCAUCCGGAGAAGAACGGCAGUGGUAGAACAUCAGCAGACGAAAAAGCAUAAAGCCUUUCUGAUUGGCCGUGUUGGUUUGCCCUCUGUCACCACAUUCUUCAAGAAGGUAGAGCCUUCACAAGAAGAAUAUGAUUUAGCUGUGCAGGAGGGUGUCUUUGCAUACCACACUAUGCAACACAAUCAUCGUUACAGAUCUAUGGACUGCACAGCACAACUGACACAAAAGCUUUAUGAGCCGAAGUUGACAUGUGCUAGGACAAAAUGUGACGCCACAGUGAGUAACGUGUUAGCACCAUGGGCAACUACUUUGGUAACACAGGACCUAGACCAGGUUGAAUUUGUGUCACUGUCCAUUGAUGCGUCCAAUCAUGGACAUGUAAAGCUGCUGCCAGUAGUAGUCGGAUAUUGUAAGAUAUAUGGUGGCAACACAUCUGUGGAAACAUGCUUGAUUUUGUUGAAUUGAAAGGAGAAACAGCAGAGGAGAUUGCAACUGAGGUCCUGGUGGUCAUCCAAAAAUGUAACCAGCAAAACAAAGUUGUGGCAUUCUCUGCCGACAACACACAUACCAACUUUGGAGGACUGAAUAGGCUGGGGAGGGUCAAUGUCCAUACCAAAGUUAAAAAUGCUCUGCAGCGGGAGGUGAUUGGCUUAGGUUGUCCUGCCCACAUCAUUCAUAACACGGCCAGAACA
Oncorhynchus masou masou (cherry salmon) is the source of this 1129-nucleotide long non-coding RNA. RefSeq lists it as uncharacterized. Lineage: Eukaryota; Metazoa; Chordata; Actinopteri; Salmoniformes; Salmonidae. The record is from RefSeq and is a predicted model, not a curated record. The transcript has 3 exons.